RNAcentral lists this long non-coding RNA (233 nucleotides) under Lathyrus oleraceus (garden pea). RNAcentral describes it as "Pisum sativum (pea) long non-coding RNA (PSAT_LNC029298)". The record is from RNAcentral. Lineage: Eukaryota; Viridiplantae; Streptophyta; Magnoliopsida; Fabales; Fabaceae.
AAGAACAUCUUGGUAGCCAAACAACACUUUCAUUUGUUUGCACCAUUUUUGUAAUUCUUAGCAUCAAGGAUAAGUAGGUUUGUAGAGAUUCUUUCAUUGGAGACAGAAUUCAUGUCACACACUAAGUGUUUGUGGAUCAGAAUCAGAUGUCAAAUGUUGGAACUUUGAACCACAAGAUUGAUGAGCAAUGGUGCAAAAAAUUGGAAUGUGGAGAGUGAAGGAGGAAAAUAGAG